Molecule: unclassified non-coding RNA, 378 nt
Filed under: uncultured Gammaproteobacteria bacterium
Lineage: Bacteria; Pseudomonadati; Pseudomonadota; Gammaproteobacteria
Description: contains 16S-23S intergenic spacer region
Source: RNAcentral
UCCGGUUUAUCACCGGCAGUCUUCUUAAAGUUCCCAGCAUUACCUGAUGGCAAUUAAGAACAAGGGUUGCGCUCGUUACGGGACUUAACCCAACAUCUCACAACACGAGCUGACGACAGCCAUGCAGCACCUGUCUCCUAGUUCCUUGCGGCACAUCGACAUUUCUGUCAACUUCUAGGGAUUCAAAGGUAGGUAAGGUUUUUCGCGUUGCAUCGAAUUAAACCACAUGCUCCACCGCUUGUGCGGGCCCCCGUCAAUUCCUUUGAGUUUUAAUCUUGCGACCGUACUCCUCAGGCGGAGAACUUAGCGCGUUAGCUUCGCUACUAAAGCCUAGAUAGACUCCAACAGCAAGUUCUCAUCGUUUACAGCAUGGACUAC